RNAcentral lists this ribosomal RNA (497 nucleotides) under uncultured bacterium. RNAcentral describes it as "partial 16S ribosomal RNA". It matches the Rfam family "Bacterial small subunit ribosomal RNA", at positions 28 to 507 of the family's 1533-position model. The record is from RNAcentral.
GAUGAACGCUGGCGGCGUGCCUAAUACAUGCAAGUCGAGCGAACAGAUGAGGAGCUUGCUCCUCUGACGUUAGCGGCGGACGGGUGAGUAACACGUGGAUAACCUACCUAUAAGACUGGGAUAACUUCGGGAAACCGGAGCUAAUACCGGAUAAUAUAUUGAACCGCAUGGUUCAAUAGUGAAAGACGGUUUUGCUGUCACUUAUAGAUGGAUCCGCGCCGCAUUAGCUAGUUGGUAAGGUAACGGCUUACCAAGGCAACGAUGCGUAGCCGACCUGAGAGGGUGAUCGGCCACACUGGAACUGAGACACGGUCCAGACUCCUACGGGAGGCAGCAGUAGGGAAUCUUCCGAAAUGGGCGAAAGCCUGACGGAGCAACGCCGCGUGAGUGAUGAAGGUCUUCGGAACGUAAAACUCUGUUAUUAGGGAAGAACAAAUGUGUAAGUAACUAUGCACGUCUUGACGGUACCUAAUCAGAAAGCCACGGCUAACUACGUG